This 253-nucleotide ribosomal RNA is filed under the name uncultured bacterium. RNAcentral describes it as "partial 16S ribosomal RNA". It matches the Rfam family "Bacterial small subunit ribosomal RNA", at positions 524 to 776 of the family's 1533-position model. The record is from RNAcentral.
UUCAGAGGCCCCGAGCGAUAAUCGGAGUUACUGGGCUUAAAGGGUGCGUAGGCCGGCCCGCAAGUGCUUUGUGAAAUCCCACGGCUCAACCGUGGAAUAGCUUGGCAUACUGCGGGCCUUGAGGUCGGUAGAGGUCGCUGGAACUGUAGGUGUAGCGGUGAAAUGCGUAGAGAUCUACAGGAACGCCAAAGGUGAAGACAGGCGACUGGGCCGAUGCUGACGCUGAGGCACGAAAGCGUGGGGAGCAAACGGG